AAUCUUCCGCAAUGGGCGAAAGCCUGACGCAGCAACGCCGCGUGGGUGAGGAAGGUCUUCGGAACGUAAAGCCCUGUUGUACAUGACGAACGUGCUUUCUCUCAACCACGGGAAGCAAUGACGGACGUGUACGAUGAACCCCCGCCUAACUACGUGCCACCAGCCGCGGUAAUCCGUAGGUGGCAAGCGUUGUCCGGAAUUAUUGGGCGUAAAGCGCAUGUAGGCGGUUCCUUAAGUCUGUCGGGAAACCGCGGGGCCUAACCCCGUAUGGCGAUGGAAACUGUGGCACUUGAGUGCAGGAGAGGAAAGGGGAAUUCCCAGUGUAGCGGUGAAAUGCGUAGAUAUUGGGAAGAACACCGGUGGCGAAGGCGCCUUUCUGGACUGUGUCUGACGCUGAGAUGCGAAAGCCAGGGUAGCGAAC
Molecule: ribosomal RNA, 421 nt
Filed under: uncultured bacterium
Lineage: Bacteria
Description: partial 16S ribosomal RNA
Rfam family: Bacterial small subunit ribosomal RNA
Source: RNAcentral